CAGUCGCCGCGGUAAUACAGAGGGUGCAAGCGUUAAUCGGAAUUACUGGGCGUAAAGCGCACGCAGGCGGUCUGACAAGUCAGAUGUGAAAUCCCCGGGCUUAACCUGGGAACUGCAUUUGAAACUGUCAGGCUGGAGUCUUGUAGAGGGGGGUGGAAUUCCAGGUGUAGCGGUGAAAUGCGUAGAGAUCUGGAGGAAUACCGGUGGCGAAGGCGGCCCCCUGGACAAAGACUGACGCUCAGGUGCGAAAGCGUGGGGAGCAAACAGGAUUAGAUACCCCGGUAGUCCCUGUCUCUUAUAC
RNAcentral lists this ribosomal RNA (301 nucleotides) under uncultured bacterium. RNAcentral describes it as "partial 16S ribosomal RNA". It matches the Rfam family "Bacterial small subunit ribosomal RNA", at positions 509 to 807 of the family's 1533-position model. The record is from RNAcentral.